CAACAAACAUAUAGAGUUAGGAUUUUUUUUAUUUUUUAUUUUUUUAUUUGUUUUACGGAUUUCACAUUAAGGGUGUGAUGAGGGAGUAAGUUUUGUUUUUUAUUAAAAUAUUUAUAUUUCUUUAGAAAUAAAAUGGGAUGUAAGAAACUUAGCAUAAUAACCUAAGUAAUUAAUUUCAUUUGCCAUUUUUUUUUAUAUUCAACCCCAAUGGCAGUGAAAUGACAGCACAUUAGUUUUUAUAGCAAAAAGAAUUAAAGCAAAGAGUUUGAGAUUAAGGUAAUAAAUUGAGCAAGAAUAACUUAUAAAAUUAUUAGGGAUGGGUCGAUUCGAUUCUCCGAUUCCUCGAUACCACUGAAUAUUAAAAAAUUUGGGUACUUAGUAUCGGGUACUAAAAAAGGGCAAGGUAGGUUAGAUAUCGGUUAAGUUAAGCAAAUACGGUAGUAAUAUAUUUUCGUCUGAGCUUUUCUUUCAUACCUAUUUUAAUAUAUCUUACUGCCGUAUGUGCAUCAAAUUCCUAAUGAUGCUCAUUAUUAUUAAAUAUUAAUUUUAUUCGAAUAAAAAUAAAAAAUAAAAACAAUGUUACCGGGCAUGUUUAACCUCUAAUUAAAACUCCACGAUCGAAGAACAUUAUUCCUCACUUAUGUAUUAGACGUAAAUAAAUUGUAAAAAGACUAAUUAAUUUUAUUUACAUUUAAGAAAAGUCCAUUGUUUUUUGUGAAGAAAGUGAUGGUUAUGAAACGAGAUCACAUCACGUGUCGUCACCAUUUUAGUUGUGAUCCAUUCAAGGAUGAUGGCCUCCACAAAACGGGAAGCCUAAGAUGUACAUCUAGUUCUGUCCCUGCCCAAACAUGCCCAAAUAUUCACCUUCGGCCAACCUCGGGUUUAUUAAUAUAUAUUUAUAUUUCUCUAUUUAUUUUAAUGUAGCUAUACUAACCUAACUAACCGUCCAUAGUGUUAUAAAGUGUUUUAAUGUAGCUAACCUAACCGACCACUUUUAAAUAUUUGAAUUCAUUUUUCCUGUACAAAAUUAAAACAAAUCCUGAGGUUGGCCGAAGGUGAAUAUUCGGGCGUGUUCGGGCAGGGACAGAACUUGAUGUACAUCUUAGGCUUCUCCCACAAAACCUCUGGUGCCCAUAAAACAUAAAGUCAAGUCGAAACUUAUCGAUUCGUUGCGUACGGGACAAAUUGUAUAAUGAAAGCAACAAUCGAUUUUAAAGAAUUCUCUGGCCAUACCGCCAACAGAGGCUCGUGUUUAUUACUUGCAAAGGAAAACAGUAAUUCACCGUCGUGCUAUUGAGGUUACUGUGAAUUGUUUCGCAUAUGCUAUUUAUUUUGCACAAAUAUUAUUUUGCUAAAACUAUUUUCAAGUAUUUUGCUAGUUUGUUUCUAAAACGAAUGUUCGCCGACUGUCGUUUCAAAUUAAGUGGCGAAUUGUCUGAUAUUGUAUCAACAUGUCUAAAGUUUGGGAACAUUUUCGCAUCAAUAGUGAAAAUGACAAAUAUGCAAUUUGUAAUCAUUGUAGUGUGCAAAUUUCACGGGGCGGUACUUCCAAAUCUACAACCAAUUUAAUGAAGAAUUUGAAAUCCCGGCACACAUUACUACCAGAAAAAAACAGAGUGUUUGCAGAAAAACAAACUUUUGUUUACAGCACUGUCACCAACAAGUCAAAAGGUACCACAGAAAAAAAGUUGUGCUACCUUUGAAUAGUGGUGUGCUUACCUGUUACUUUUGAGUAUCAGUGAAAUCGGUUCCAGUGAAAUUUAUGUUUCUGUGAAAUUAAACGGUGAACGGUGAAAUCUCUCUCUAGUAAUGCUCGUAAUCGUAACUGCUUCCUCGCACCGAAAAAUGGUGAAAUAAAGGGGAUAAGUGAAUUCACUGCCUCUCUGUGAAUGAUGAAAUUAAAUACAUAAAUAAAUAUGUAACGUGUUAAAAAAUUGUUAGUCUAAUACCAUUUGUAUGGGCUAAUGUAUGAAUAUAUCUGUGGCUUGGUUCUAAAAGGGCCAAUGUCAAAAAUAACAGUUCCGAGAUAUUAACCUCUGAAUAUAUGGUUUAUUCUUAAAAUAUUAAUGGCAAAGAAACUAUGCACACCAAUGUUAUGAUACUUCCCCAAUACAAACUGGAGUCCAUGACGAGUAUAGUACACCAAGUCCAACUUCUCUAGACACAUUAACCAAAAAAAAAUUAAUGACAUUGGCCCUUAUUUCGUUUAAAAUGGGUUAAAAUUGCGGACAUUGGCCUUGAAAAAGCACACAAAAUACAUACUAAUUAGAACCUUUAACUACUAUUUAGACAUAUUAAUUAGAUGAAAUAAUUUCAGUUCUUAUCAAGUUAAGAGGACUCUUGAACAUAAUCAGUCAAUGCACAUUAACAUAUGAAUAAUUUCACUAAUUAAUAUUCUUCUCCACCAUGUAUAUUCUCUUACAUUAUGCUCAGUAAAAAACAGAAAUAAAUACAUGUAUUACAUUGUAGCCCAAUAAAACAACAAACAAAAUAAGCACAUCCAUUGUAUCCGCAAGGUUUUGGUUCGUAUUAAACAGGUCUAAGUUUCACUUUAUUCAGUGUCUGCUUCAUUUUCUUCACUGUCAUCAGGAGAUACCCACCGGUAAGCUCAACGGAUGGUGUGAGUCCCUUCAGGAAUGACUCAUAAAAUUGACGACUGUUGGGAUGAAUGAAAGGUAAGAGAGACUUCAAAUAAUUUACCUUCUCUAAUGGAAGUGGUAAUGGCAUACUUUAAAUAGGACUUAAGGUUGGAAGCGAAUUCCUUUUCUUGUGCCUUCGUGACAGAUCAAGUAUCUUGAAUUGUUCAUCAUCUUGGAAAGAAUAUUUGAACUUGAUUGUAUCGGAACCUUAAAAAAUCAUAUCUCAUCCACUUUAUUCUCAACCAAGAAAUUUUUUCUCCUUCGGUAUCAACCUUCCGGUGAACAUAAUGAUUGCUAAGCAAUUCCUUGAAGUUCAAAAAGUCUUUCUGCUCCAUUUCAACAACUGUUAUGGGUGGAUGUCAUCGUACCAUUUGAAUAAGGUUAGCCCAGUCUCUUGGAAGUUCUACAUUUACUGUUGUGUUUUUCUUUGUUUUCUCAAUUGCCGCAUGUACCGUAUCAGCUUCCAUAUGAUUAUGGCCAGGCUCUAGGAAUUUAUGAUUGAUAAUCAGUGUUCUGCUUUUAAUGUUUACAGUUUUCACAUGAGUCCGUAACAUUACGGCCACGUAAAUGUUGCGAUUUUGGCCAGGACAGGAAUCACUAUACAUAUAUUCACUUCUUCAAUUGCAUCAGGUAUACUCUGCAGAUACUUGUAUAAACAGGAUUAAAUUUCCUGUCCACCUCUUGCUUCAAUAGUUUCAUCCCAGAUUAAACAAGUAGCAGCAGAUUUCUGGAGACCUGUCUCAUGUAUUAUUAAGUUAAAUGUCCAGAGUUUUCGUUUAUAAAAUGCUACUCCACUCACAAAAAGUGGGGUAGGGAGGCAUUUCUGAAGAUAAAAUGACAUUGGUAUGCAGUUACUGUUACUUUUACUUAGCGAUUUGUCUUUCCUUUUUUCUUCAUAUGAAGAUUCUGCCAGCUCCAAGUGUAUCUUCUUUUCUUUCUCAAGCUUGUUCCAGAACAAUUACAUCUAGGGAUGGGAUUUUCGAAUCUUGGAUUCGUCGAAUAUACCGAAUCCUAUGGAUUCGAGGAUUCGUAGGAUCCGAGGUGGGAUUCGAGGUGGGAUUCGAGAUGGGUUUUUAAGAGUUUUAGGUAGUAAUUGAUAAUUGUAGUGCUGGGCGAAGUUUGAAAAUUUAGAACCGAACCGAACCCUUACGUUCGGUUCGGUUCGGUUCGGUUCGAAACCUCUUAAAAUAUAUUCGAAAAACCGAACGUUCGUUUAAAAAAAAUUACGUUUUUCUAAUUUUCUAACCCCCAUUUGAGACCAUUCACAAAACAGCUCAACAAAAUUCUAUUAGUUGUAAUAUUCCUACUUUUAUCGCAUAAUCGUCGCCUCAACAGUUUCAAGCUCAGACAAAAUAAAAAUAAAAUAAUUAAUCGUCGCAUAACUCGCAUAGCAUUUUUUCAUAUGGGCGCGCUUUGUUUUUUGAUUACUUUAGAGAAUUUUGUAUGCAUUUGUCGUACUACGUAAUAUAAACUAUCGUACAAAUGCCAAAGGUAUUGUAUAUUAUACCUUUAACUAUAGUGCGUGUACGAGAAGUGUUGUAAAAUCACCAAAAAUUGCGUACCCCAUACGUUAAACUAAAGCGCAUGUACGAGAACUCUCGUAUUUCGGCAAAACUAACGUGAUCAAGUUAACACAAGACAAAUGCGGUAGGAAAUGAUUACGUAAAUUACGUAUUUUAAAUUACUGGGGUGUAUUUAUUUUCUUUGGCCUUUUUGGUUAUAACAGUCAGGCAAUGAAAAUAUUAAUUUAAUCUUGUGUAUUAAAAGUACUGGUCCAGUAAAUUUUACAGUACGGUACUAAUUUGACUAGCGUAGUCGCGGCAGCCAUCAUUAUUUCUCGUGUUUUCUUUUUUCCGACGCAAAUUUCUAGAGGUGUAAAAGUAACGAAAAAAAGGGUACCCGUAUGUAUUCGUUACUAUAACAAUCAGUACUCGUUAUUAUCGUAUCGUUACUCGUUACUUCUGAUACCGCAUAACAUGCAACGAAUCGAGUCGUAUUGCGUAUGCGUACAUUAUGACGUCGCGUAAAUAAUAAUAAUUAGAAUACAUACAAUUAACAAUAUUUGAUAAUUAACAGUUUUUGUUAACCAAGAAACAAUUAAAUCUCAUUAGAGCGGCCUUAUAUUAUCUCUUUUAAGAUAAUAAAAAACCGUGAAAAUUCGCGAUAAUAAAAAACAAAAACAUACAUAUUUCCAAUUUGUAAAAAAUACUUUCUUACGUUGUUUCUGUUCCAAUCUCAAACGUUGUCUACACACACAAUACCUUUAAUAAACAGUAAAAAAACUUGGACGACGAAUUUCCAAAUUAUACUUUACUUAAUAAACAAACAUCGUUCUUUGUAACAUAAAUUCAUCGAAUAUGCGCGCGCAUGCGUGAAACAUACGAAACAUGCGAGUAACGAAAUAUGCGAGUAACGAAAUGCAGCCGUGUGUAACGUUUCGUUACUCGUAUAUAGACGGCGCACCCGUUACUCAGUAACGAAUACAUACGGUUUGCUACAGCUCUACAAAUUUCUAUAACCACACUUUUUACGUUGCGUUUACAAUAUUAUUGUUCUUGAGGUGAUUUGCGAUGAGCAGGCUAACGUCGUUUAAGUUUUCCAAAUGGAGAAAAGAUAAUGACGACCCGGAUGACCCAGAACCACCCCAAAAAAACCGUCUAAAGUUUCUUCUAACGAGCAGCAUUCUUCCAAGAAAACAGCAACUGCAGUCAGCGGGUUUUGUAAUGUAGAUAGGAAUUACAAAAGAAAAACUGACCAAAAACCCCUCACUCAAGCUCUCUAUGACCAAGCAUGUUCAUUGGUGAAGGAAGGAGUUUCUUUGCGUCAGGCAGCCAAAGCGAUUGGAUUCUCACACACCGCAUUAAUGAAAAGGAUGCGACUUGGAAAAGGGGGGUCUUGGACGUUUCAGGAAGAUUUUUACAUUGGCACAAGAAGAUGAUUUAGUUCGUCACUGUGUGGAAUUGGACAAACGGUUUUUCGGUUUGAGUCUCAAGUCUUUGAGAUAUCUUCUGUAUGCUUAUGCUAAGAAAAAUAGCAUCUUCUGUCCAUUUUCUGACGAAUCAAAAAUGGCCGGAAGGGAUUUUACCCGAGCGUUUAUGAAGAGAAACAAGCUAUCGUUGAGAACCGCACGUAAGACAAGUGUGGCACGUACCAUGGGAUUUAACCGUCAACAACUAAAACUGUAUUUCGACAACUUGGAAGAUACCUUAUAAAAAUAUAACUUUGGGCCAGAACGUAUUUACAACAUGGAUGAAUCCGGAGUUCAGACAGUGCCAAAUAAAAUACCAAAGCACAUAGCUCCCACUGGUAAGAAGGAAGUGGCGAAGUCUACAUCCGCUGAACAGGGUAAAACGAUAACAGUGGUCUGUGCAAUGAGUGCGGUCGGACAAUUUGUACCUCCAUUUUUUAUAUAUGGAAGAAAACGAGAAAAUAGGCUGCUUAUCAAAGGAGGACCGAUAGGUUGUGACAUGGCAUUGACGGAUAAAGGCUACAUGAACUCAGCAACUUUUGUGAAAUGGCUGGAUCACUUUAAGAAGUAAACAAAUACUACUCCUGAGAACCCAAUACUUCUUAUACUGGAUAACCACAUUUCACACAUCAGUUUGAUAGCUGUUGAGUUUGCUAAGUCCAAUUAAAUUCAUUUGCUUACACUACCGCCGCAUAGCAGUCACAAAACGCAGCCCUUGGACAGGUGUUUCUUCAGGCCAUUCAAAGCCUUUUAUGAUGCGGCUGCAGAUAGCUGGACAAACGCAAACCCUGGGCAAACAAUAAGUGAAUUUGAAGUCUCACAACUUGUUAAAAUUGCCUUUGAAAGAGCAGCAACUGUUGAAACAGCAGUUCAAGGUUUUCACAGCACUGGAAUCUAUCCUUUCGAUAAAAAUAAAUUUACAGAUAUAGACUUUCUGCCCUCCGAAGUAACAGAUCAAGAACCUGAAGUUACAGAACCACAAGACGAUGAGGAACAGAGGUUCAUAUAUUUCAACCAUGACCGCAAUGACCAUCCACCUCGAGGGGACGACCUUCCACCGGAGUCACAAUUACCAGGGAGAGGCCUGAAAUCAGUUUUACUUACCUCAACGCCUAACAAAAAAUAUCUAGAGGAAAAAGAACAAGAGAAGGCGAAGAGAGAAAAGAGUAGUAAAUUGUUAAAGAAGAAUAAGAAACCAAGAAAGGCAUUGUUUCCACCACCCAAGCAUAAGCUUCAGCGAACUAAGAAGCCAUCACCACCAUCAUACACCUCUUCUGACAGUGAUUCCUAUUCUGUUCACAAUUCAAGCUCGGAUAUGGAUGGACUCUUCUCUGAAACAGAAAACGAAGAAGAUGAUGAACCAAGUGAAUCAGCCAGAGCACCAGGAAGUUGCAGCUGAAUGAUUUUGCUGUGGUGAAAGUUCAAGGCAAAACCAAAGACUCGGUGAGGUUAUAUGUUUCAAAGAUUGUCCACGUUUUUGACAAUGGAUAUUAUGCUCUAUUUUACAGAAGAAUUCCUCAAACUCAGCGAUUUUCAGAAACAAAAGAGGAAGCAUUUCUUAAACCUCAAGAUAUUUACAUGACACUCUCCAAGCCAAUCAAGUGCACUUCUGGACGAUUCAUAAAUACAGUAACUUUUUCCAGUGAUUUCAAUGACUUAACAAUUUAUUGAUAAACUUAAACUGGGAUUUAAGUAGGCUUUGAAUGAGUCUACUUCCCUACUUAAUUAGUUUUUCCUACAAUAAGUAGUUACUCCUUUGUUUUUACCCAUUUCUCUUUGUAAUAAUAUUUUAUAACAUUCUUUUGUAAUUUUCUUGUUUCUUACUUUUGUUAUUUUGUAAUUUUCUAUAUUAUAAUAUGUAAUAAAUGAUUCUUACGUGUCUAAAAAGGCUGAAUAAACCCAAACGUGUAGGCCUA
Bacillus rossius redtenbacheri is the source of this 7523-nucleotide long non-coding RNA. RefSeq lists it as uncharacterized. The record is from RefSeq and is a predicted model, not a curated record. The transcript is spliced from 2 exons. Lineage: Eukaryota; Metazoa; Arthropoda; Insecta; Phasmatodea; Bacillidae.